This 256-nucleotide ribosomal RNA is filed under the name uncultured bacterium. Its description in RNAcentral is "partial 16S ribosomal RNA". It matches the Rfam family "Bacterial small subunit ribosomal RNA", at positions 524 to 776 of the family's 1533-position model. The record is from RNAcentral.
UACGUAGGGGGCGGAGCGUUGUCCGGAAUCAUUGGGCGUAAAGCGCGUGUAGGCGGCCCGGUAAGUCCGCUGUGAAAGUCCAGGGCUCAACCCUGGGGAUGCCCGGUCGAUACUGCCGGACUAGAGUUCGGAAGAGGCGAGUGGAAUUCCCGGUGUAGCGGUGAAAUGCGCAGAUAUCGGGAGGAACACCUAUGGCGAAGGCAGCUCGCUGGGACGUUACUGACGCUGAGACGCGAAAGCGUGGGGAGCAAACAGG